This 497-nucleotide ribosomal RNA is filed under the name Eulasia chalybaea. RNAcentral describes it as "partial 16S large subunit ribosomal RNA". It matches the Rfam family "Bacterial large subunit ribosomal RNA", at positions 1846 to 2600 of the family's 2925-position model. The record is from RNAcentral. Lineage: Eukaryota; Metazoa; Arthropoda; Insecta; Coleoptera; Glaphyridae.
UUGGAAGUAUAGCCUGCCCCCUGAGUUUUUAAAUGGCCGCGGUAGCUUGACCGUGCAAAGGUAGCAUAAUAAUUAGUUUUUUAAUUGGUAGCUGGAAUGAAAGGCUGGACGAGGGAAUAACUGUCUCUGUUUAAUUUAAUUAGAAUUUUAUUUUUAAGUAAAAAAGCUUAAAUAAUUUUGAAAGACGAGAAGACCCUAUAGAAUUUUAUAUUUAUUUUAAUAUUAGGAUGUGAAGAAUAAGUAGUUUUGAUAUUAUUAUAAAUAUUUUGUUGGGGUGACAGAAAAAUUUAAGGAACUUUUUUUAUAUUUAUCCAUUAAUAUAUGAGUAAAUGAUCCAUUAUUUAUGAUUAUAAGAUUAAAUUACCUUAGGGAUAACAGCGUAAUCUUUUUUAAGAGUUCUUAUCGAAAAAAGGGUUUGCGACCUCGAUGUUGGAUUAAAAUUAAGUUUUGGUGUAGGAGCUGAAAUGUUAGGUCUGUUCGACCUUUAAAAUUUUACA